CCUACGGGACGCAGCAGUGGGGAAUAUUGCACAAUGGGGGAAACCCUGAUGCAGCGACGCCGCGUGAGUGAAGAAGUGUUUCGGCACGUAAAGCUCUGUCAGCAGGGAAGAAAAUGACGGUACCUGACCAAGAAGCCCCGGCUAACUACGUGCCAGCAGCCGCGGUAAUACGUAGGGGGCAAGCGUUAUCCGGAUUUACUGGGUGUAAAGGGAGCGCAGACGGCAGCGCAAGUCCGGGGUGAAAGCCCGCGGCCCAACCGCGGGACUGCCCUGGAAACUGUGCGGCUGGAGUGCCGGAGAGGUAA
RNAcentral lists this ribosomal RNA (305 nucleotides) under uncultured bacterium. RNAcentral's name for it is "bacterial SSU rRNA". It matches the Rfam family "Bacterial small subunit ribosomal RNA", at positions 338 to 660 of the family's 1533-position model. The record is from RNAcentral.